GAUCCUGGCUCAGGAUGAACGCUAGCUACAGGCUUAACACAUGCAAGUCGAGGGGCAUCGGGAAGAAAGCUUGCUUUCUUUGCUGGCGACCGGCGCACGGGUGAGUAACACGUAUCCAACCUACCCUUUACUCGGGGAUAGCCUUUCGAAAGAAAGAUUAAUACCCGAUGGCAUAAUGAUUCCGCAUGGUUUCAUUAUUAAAGGAUUCCGGUAAAGGAUGGGGAUGCGUUCCAUUAGGUUGUUGGUGAGGUAACGGCU
RNAcentral lists this ribosomal RNA (258 nucleotides) under uncultured bacterium. RNAcentral's name for it is "partial 16S ribosomal RNA". It matches the Rfam family "Bacterial small subunit ribosomal RNA", at positions 15 to 265 of the family's 1533-position model. The record is from RNAcentral.